AAACCCAGAAAAGCGAUGGACAGUGUCCUUUAGUCCGUCAUUUUUCUGGUUUGUU
RNAcentral lists this microRNA precursor (55 nucleotides) under Solanum tuberosum (potato). Its description in RNAcentral is "MIR8008 microRNA precursor family". It matches the Rfam family "MIR8008 microRNA precursor family". The record is from Rfam by way of RNAcentral. Lineage: Eukaryota; Viridiplantae; Streptophyta; Magnoliopsida; Solanales; Solanaceae.